CGCACAUCGCGCCCUUUGGCAUUCCGAGGGGCAUGCCUGUUCGAGCGUCAUUACACCAUUCAAGCCUGGCUUGGUAUUGGGCGAGGAGGCUCCCUCCUGCCCCAAUUUCCACCGGCUGGACCGUCCGCAUCUCAGCGUUGUGGUAUUCAAUUCGCUGGCGAGAAGGAUGGCUCACGCCGUUAAACAUUCAUUAAGGUUGACCUCGGAUCAGGUAGGGAUACCCGCUGAACUUAA
RNAcentral lists this unclassified non-coding RNA (234 nucleotides) under Capnodiales sp. RNAcentral describes it as "partial contains 5.8S ribosomal RNA, internal transcribed spacer 2, and large subunit ribosomal RNA". The record is from RNAcentral. Lineage: Eukaryota; Fungi; Ascomycota; Dothideomycetes; Capnodiales.